RNAcentral lists this ribosomal RNA (855 nucleotides) under Bacillus sp. MAC1772. Its description in RNAcentral is "bacterial SSU rRNA". It matches the Rfam family "Bacterial small subunit ribosomal RNA", at positions 507 to 1362 of the family's 1533-position model. Lineage: Bacteria; Bacillati; Bacillota; Bacilli; Caryophanales; Bacillaceae. The record is from RNAcentral.
UUCAGCAGCCGGCGGUAAUACGUAGGUGGCAAGCGUUGUCCGGAAUUAUUGGGCGUAAAGCGCGCGCAGGCGGUCUCUUAAGUCUGAUGUGAAAGCCCACGGCUCAACCGUGGAGGGCCAUUGGAAACUGGGGGACUUGAGUACUGGAGAGGAGAGUGGAAUUCCAUGUGUAGCGGUGAAAUGCGUAGAUAUAUGGAGGAACACCAGUGGCGAAGGCGGCUCUCUGGCCAGUAACUGACGCUGAGGCGCGAAAGCGUGGGGAGCAAACAGGAUUAGAUACCCUGGUAGUCCACGCCGUAAACGAUGAGUGCUAGGUGUUGGGGGGUUCCACCCUCAGUGCUGACGUUAACACAUUAAGCACUCCGCCUGGGGAGUACGGCCGCAAGGCUGAAACUCAAAGGAAUUGACGGGGGCCCGCACAAGCAGUGGAGCAUGUGGUUUAAUUCGAAGCAACGCGAAGAACCUUACCAGGUCUUGACAUCCUUCGCUACUUCUAGAGAUAGAAGGUUCCCCUUCGGGGGACGAAGUGACAGGUGGUGCAUGGUUGUCGUCAGCUCGUGUCGUGAGAUGUUGGGUUAAGUCCCGCAACGAGCGCAACCCUUGAUCUUAGUUGCCAGCAUUCAGUUGGGCACUCUAAGGUGACUGCCGGUGACAAACCGGAGGAAGGUGGGGAUGACGUCAAAUCAUCAUGCCCCUUAUGACCUGGGCUACACACGUGCUACAAUGGAUGGUACAAAGGGCAGCAAAACCGCGAGGUUGAGCGAAUCCCAUAAAGCCAUUCUCAGUUCGGAUUGCAGGCUGCAACUCGCCUGCAUGAAGCCGGAAUUGCUAGUAAUCGCGGAUCAGCUGCCGCGA